Columba livia (rock pigeon) is the source of this 3127-nucleotide long non-coding RNA. RefSeq lists it as uncharacterized. The transcript is spliced from 3 exons. The record is from RefSeq and is a predicted model, not a curated record. Lineage: Eukaryota; Metazoa; Chordata; Aves; Columbiformes; Columbidae.
GAGAGUGGCUCUGUGGGUGCUUAGCUAUUAGCUGGGGUAAACUCACCACACCUUCACUAGAUUAAUGUCACUGAAGAAGGUAAGGAAGUGCACUAUCACAUUUUUGAAACUAGCCUAUGAACGGGAAGAAACAUAGAAUCAUAAAAUAGAUUGGGUUGGAAGGGACCUUCAAAGGUCAUCGAGUCCAACCCUUCUACAAUGAGCAGGGACAUCUUCAACUAGAUCAGGUUGCUCAGAGCUCCACCCAACCUGAAAUUGAAUGUUUCCAGGGAUGGGGUAUCUACCACCUCUCUGGGCAACCAGUUACAGUGUUUGAUCACCCUCAUUGUAAAACUUUCUUCCUCAUGUCUAGCCUGAAUCUCCUCUCUUUUGGUUUGAAACCAUUACCCCUUGUCCUAUUGUAACAGGCCCUACUAAAAAGUCUGUCCACAUCUUUCUUAUAGGCCUCUUUUAAGUACUAAAAGGUUGGAAUAAGGUCUCCCCAGAACCUUCUCUUUUCCAGGCUGAACAACCCCAACUCUCUCAGCCCGUCCUCAUAGGAAAGGUGUUCCAUCCCUCUGAUCAUUUUUGUGGCCCUCCUCUGUACCCUAUCUAACAGGUCCAUGUCUUUCCUGUAAUGAGGGCUCCAGAGAUGAACGCAGUACUCCAGGUGGGGUCUCACCAGAGCAGAGGGGCAGAAUGACCUCCCUCGAUCUGCUGACCACACUCAUUUGAUGCAACCCAAUAUAUGAUUUUCCUCCUGGGCUGCAAGCAUACAUUGCCAGCUCAUGUCCAGUCUUUCAUCUACCAGUACCCCCAAGUCCUUCUCAGCAGGGUUGCUCUCAAUCCCUUCAUCCCUCAGCCUGCAGCCUGUAUUGAUACCAGAGGUUGCCUCCACCCAACUGCAGGACCUUGCAUUUGACCUUGUUGAACCUCAUGAGGUUCGCAUGGGCGCACUUCUCAAGCUUGCCCAGGUCCCUCUGGAUGGCAUCCCGUCCCUCAGGUGUGUCAACUGCACAACUCAGCUUGGUGUCAUCUGCAAACUUGUUGAGGGUGCACUCGAUCCCACUAUGUCAUUGAUGAAGAGGACCCAGGUUCACGAUCACUGCGCAGCUGCAACCAGGAGGAGCUGGAGGUGGAGACUAUGGAAAUGGUCUCCCAGAACUCAUUGUAAUAAGAACUGCCUUCACGGGGACAGGUUAUGAAUAUGUAUAGGCAUUCCUAAAACUUUCUUGAAUAUCUAACACUUUACUGCAUUUAACCAAGCUCACAGCUACUGGAAAUUUACACACAUAUUAGGUGAAAUGAUUCCCCCUGUGUCCGGCAUCGUAAAUAAAUAUGUACCUUCCUUAUAACCUCAAGGGUUGUAAGGUCAUUCCGCGCCUCAACAAUGUCUACAGUUCUAGAAGAAAAAGGGGGACAUUGGCUUUCCCCACAAAGAUUUCUCAAAUAUCAGGCUAAAUCAUCAUCACUAACAUUGUCAAUCCAGCUUCUUUCCUCAGUGGUAACAUUGGAAAACCAGUUCAUCAUAAUUGCCUGGAAACAAUCAAAGCAACAUACUCCAGCCGACCACAUCUAAAGGACAACCCUAUGGAGAACACUGAGAACUGCUUUAUGGACGAAAGCAGCAAUAUCCUGAAUGGUGAAAGGCAUGCUGGUUAUGCUAUAACUACUAGCCAUGAAGUGAUGGAAUCUGGACCUCUGUCUAAAAGUACUUCAGCACAAAAGGCAGAAAUAAUCACCCUUACUUGUGCUCUGGACCUAGCUGAAGGUAAAACUGUGAACUUUUAUACGAACUCUCAGUAUGCUUUCAGAGUCGCAUGGAAAAAUUUGGAAAGAAAAAGGACUCUUGAACUCUCAAGGCAAACAUAUCAAACAUGCAGAAGAAAUAUUGGCAGCUCAGCUUCCUAAGAAGGUGGCAAUCAUGCAUAUCAAGGCACACCAGAAAGUGAGCUCGGAAUUGGAGAAAGGAAAUGAGCUGGUGGACAGAGAGGCAAAACUGGUGCCUAAGCAAAAGAAAAGACUUUGGAACCACAAUGGGAAGGUCCAUUUCAAGUCCUCCUGACAUCCUUCACUGCUAUCAAGAUUAAAGAACAGAACGCCUGGAUCCAUCAUUCUAGAGUGAAGAAAGCCUGGAAAACACCAUGGAGGGCCGAGGAUUGAAGUGGAUUCAACGAAGAUUCAACGGAUGCAGAUGGACAGGAGGGAGAUAAGUUGUGAGGACUGUUUCAGAUGUAAACCAUGGAUCCCAGUUCAGUGUUAUAGAUGCUGACAGACCUGGUGGUCUAGAAGCCUAUUAGCAAGCAGGUGGUGUACCUUCUGCGGAGAAUGGCAAUUUGAACAAUCAGCAGGAGAUCCAAAAGGGUGAUAUUAUGAUUAGAUAGUCAAUGCAUAGAUAAGGUAAAAUUAUGAGAUAUCCCUACCAUAGUAAUCUAAGUUUAGCAAUUGAUGAAGUUUUAGAAGGGAUAUUAAGGUUAAGCUAUUGAUCUUUUAAAUAGGUUAAGAUAACUUUUAAGAUAUUAAUUCCAUUAUUAGUAUAUGCUGAUGGUAUUAAGUAUGUUACUCUAUAAACUGCGCAGUUAUAAAUCUUUUGGGAAUUGAAGAGAAAAUAUUGUAUUAACUUGUCUGGUUAGUUUGAAUCUAUUAAAAUAGUGUGUUAAUAAGGUUGUCAUAAUAGAAUUAAGGUUUUAAGAAUAGGCAGGUAGUUGUUUGAUCUUAUUAAGUAAGGUUUAACUGCAUUAUAUGUAAUUGUAAUUAUGUUGUUAAUCACGUGUUCUGUGUUGCAGUAUAUUUCAAAAAUGAUGCACCAUGCGGUUAAAGGGGCCUGACUAAUUCAAGAAAGGGGGAAGUGUGGAGGGGUUUUGAUAGAUUUGUUGCUGAAUUAGUCAGGCUCAAAGGAAUCUCAAGGCCGCUUUGAGAAGCUGAGAACAGAAUCUGCUGUGAGAAAGAGGGGCGUUCCUCAAUCACUGGGGUCCUGGCGUGGCGUGAAUCAUCGGACGUAUCAUCAGUGAGACUCCAGCGCAUGGACAGCCCAUGAUACUCAUUUAGCGAAUCCAUGCUUGGAGCGUGGACGCGUGAUUAGAAUAUAGUUGCAUAUAUAAGGAGGCUGGUUUCUGUAAUAAAUGGCUUUAGCGUGAUUCACAUUGAA